Leptopilina heterotoma is the source of this 1158-nucleotide long non-coding RNA. RefSeq lists it as uncharacterized. The transcript is spliced from 2 exons. NCBI's taxonomy places the organism in Eukaryota, Metazoa, Arthropoda, Insecta, Hymenoptera, Figitidae. The record is from RefSeq and is a predicted model, not a curated record.
AAUGUGUCAAUCGUUUCGUUGUUUUGUUAAUUAAAAAAGUAUAUAUUAACCAUUAAAAUAGUGUACGGUAACUUAAAUUUACUUUAAAAAGUUUAUUUUUACUUAUUGAUAUGUGAAAUUAGUUUUGGUUUACUAUUUUGAUAGUGAAAACGGUCAAAACUCAAAGAGCGAAAGAUUGCAUACUUUCUAACCUAAAAAAUUUAACGUGCAGCAAUUUUAAUAAUAUUAUAGUUAAAGUGUAAUUUUUAAUUGUGCAAGUGUUUUAAAAAGUGAAAUGAACUGAUGUUCGUCUACGUGUAAAUAAAAAGUGCCUUGAGAUGAAGAAUUUGAAAAUGACAAGUGUGCCAUCAUUUCUCGUGAGUCAAAACAAAAACUUUUAGUCCUGAUUAGAUUUACAAUUUAUAAAAUUAAUUAUGCCUUAAAAUAAAGAAAAAAGUUGCCGAAUAAGAAUACAUAGAGAACACUGUUGAUUCGGUUAAUAAUUUUUGUAAUAAACUAAAUUGCGAAAUUAGAUUAUUGUAACAAGUUUUGAAUUUUCGCGCCAAUUUAGUAACGCUCUCUUCCGCUAGGCAGCUCUGCUAUUUUCCGUUUUGGCUUUUUGGCGCGCUGAGUAGCCAUCAGUAGCCAUUAAACGUCAUAAGUAAACAAAUUUAUACAGUUCUCAAUAUUUCUUCAUGUUUUAUUUUAUUGAAAAAGUGUAUUUUAGUACAAAUUUAUACUAUACAGUGACUUAAAAUAACAUUAACGAGUUUAUGUCUACAUAAUGAAGUAUAGAAUUACUAUUGCAUUUCGUUUGUGAGUGAAAAUUUAAACAGUGAAAGAAGUCGUCGAAUUUCCUAACCUACAAAUGUUAAAACCAAAAUAAUAUCAAUUAUUAAUGUUCAAAUAACUCAAAUACUUAAAAUUAAUUAAGUUUCAAUUAAAUAAUUAAAUUCAAUUCAAUUUCAAUUAAUUAACAAAGUAGUGGAUCGUUGUUACAUAAUAUUUGUAGUACACAAGAAGAGCGACGAUAUCGAGUUUACAAGAAGAGAUUAUUUCUACAAGUGGAAAAAAAUAUUGUAACAAUAAUUUAUUGUUAUUGACAAUAUUUAUUUUUAUUCUUUUGUUGAAGAAUAAAAACUAUGGCACGCAAUCAAAUUAGAAAUAAUGGAACUAGAG